RNAcentral lists this ribosomal RNA (497 nucleotides) under uncultured bacterium. RNAcentral describes it as "partial 16S ribosomal RNA". It matches the Rfam family "Bacterial small subunit ribosomal RNA", at positions 28 to 507 of the family's 1533-position model. The record is from RNAcentral.
GACGAACGCUGGCGGCGUGCCUAAUACAUGCAAGUUGAGCGCUGAAGGUUGGUACUUGUACCAACUGGAUGAGCAGCGAACGGGUGAGUAACGCGUGGGGAAUCUGCCUUUGAGCGGGGGACAACAUUUGGAAACGAAUGCUAAUACCGCAUAAAAACUUUAAACACAAGUUUUAAGUUUGAAAGAUGCAAUUGCAUCACUCAAAGAUGAUCCCGCGUUGUAUUAGCUAGUUGGUGAGGCAAAGGCUCACCAAGGCGAUGAUACAUAGCCGACCUGAGAGGGUGAUCGGCCACAUUGGGACUGAGACACGGCCCAAACUCCUACGGGAGGCAGCAGUAGGGAAUCUUCGGCAAUGGACGAAAGUCUGACCGAGCAACGCCGCGUGAGUGAAGAAGGUUGUCGGAUCGUAAAACUCUGUUGGUAGAGAAGAACGUUGGUGAGAGUGGAAAGCUCAUCAAGUGACGGUAACUACCCAGAAAGGGACGGCUAACUACGUG